UACAGAGGGUGCGAGCGUUAAUCGGAAUUACUGGGCGUAAAGCGUGCGUAGACGGUAAUGUAAGUCAGAUGUGAAAAGCCCCCGGGCUCAACCUGGGAAUUGCAUUUGAGACUGCAUUGCUUGGGGUGCGGAAGAGGGAAGCGGAAUUUCCGGUGUAGCGGUGAAAUGCGUAGAUAUCGGAAGGAACACCAGUGGCGAAAGCGGCUUCCUGGUCCGACACCGACGUUCAGGCACGAAAGCGUGGGGAGCAAACAGG
This 256-nucleotide ribosomal RNA is filed under the name uncultured bacterium. RNAcentral's name for it is "partial 16S ribosomal RNA". It matches the Rfam family "Bacterial small subunit ribosomal RNA", at positions 524 to 776 of the family's 1533-position model. The record is from RNAcentral.